UGGGGAAUCUUGCACAAUGGGGGAAACCCUGAUGCAGCGACGCCGCGUGAGCGAUGAAGCCCUUCGGGGUGUAAAGCUCUUUCGACGGGAACGAUAAUGACGGUACCCGGAGAAGAAGCUGCGGCUAACUACGUGCCAGCAGUCGCGGUAAUACGUAGGCAGCGAGCGUUGUUCGGAGUUACUGGGCGUAAAGAGUAUGUAGGCGGUUGCGCAAGUUCGGUGUGAAAUCUCCCGGCUCAACUGGGAGGGUGCGCCGAAAACUGCGUGGCUAGAGUGCGGGAGAGGAGAGCGGAAUUCCUGGUGUAGCGGUGAAAUGCGUAGAUAUCAGGAGGAACACCGGUGGUGUAGACGGCUCUCUGGACCGCCACUGACGCUGAGAUACGAAAGCGUGGGGAGCAAACAGGAUUAGAUACCCUGGUAGUCCACGCCCUAAACGAUGCGGACUUGGUGUGGGCAGUUCAUUCUGUCCGUGCCGGAGCUAACGCGUUAAGU
RNAcentral lists this ribosomal RNA (492 nucleotides) under uncultured Acidobacteriota bacterium. RNAcentral describes it as "bacterial SSU rRNA". It matches the Rfam family "Bacterial small subunit ribosomal RNA", at positions 355 to 865 of the family's 1533-position model. The record is from RNAcentral. Lineage: Bacteria; Pseudomonadati; Acidobacteriota.